Nicotiana tabacum (common tobacco) is the source of this 634-nucleotide non-coding RNA. Lineage: Eukaryota; Viridiplantae; Streptophyta; Magnoliopsida; Solanales; Solanaceae. The record is from RefSeq and is a predicted model, not a curated record.
UGCUUACAUGCUUUAUACUGAAGGAACUCAAUAUACUCUGCUAAAGAAACCAUCCGACUAUUCAAAGCAUCGGUCCCCAUGUCGCUACAAUUUGUAGUAGUAAGGUUAACUUGAAAUAGUGGAAAUAAGUAACUCCUAUGAGAAAACUGAAGAAAUAGCUUGAAAAACACUGUUUACAGCAGGGAAACAAAACACUGUUCUGUGCCGGCACACUGUUCAUGCCGGAAACACUGUAGCUCGCCGGAAAAUUCCAAAGUUGUAGGAAUUUGUCGUAACCAGGAUGGAUAGACUCGGAAUUCCUUUGCGAGCAAGCUGUCCUGAAGAAAUAUUUUCAAAAAAUGUCCGGAAAGGUCACUGUUCACGCCGGAAAAAUAUAAAAGUGCCGGAAUUUGAUUUGAAUUAGAUGGGUAGGCUCGGAAUUUUGAGGAGAGCACACUGUCCUGAAGAAGCUUAGCGAAAAAAAGGCCGGAAAGUGGUCAGAACCCUCGCUGGAAAAGUUGUUGCCGGCGCGUGGAGGAGCAUGGCGGCUUCUGCCGGAUAAAAUUUUAGGGGUUGGUAGUCGGAUGGUGAUCUACCUCGUGGUGGUGUUGGUUUUAGCACAACACCGACAAAAAGUGACUUUCACUUAGAUAAG